UACGGGGGGGGCAAGCGUUGUUCGGAAUUACUGGGCGUAAAGGGCUCGUAGGCGGCCAACUAAGUCAGACGUGAAAUCCCUCGGCUUAACCGGGGAACUGCGUCUGAUACUGGAUGGCUUGAGUUCGGGAGAGGGAUGCGGAAUUCCAGGUGUAGCGGUGAAAUGCGUAGAUAUCUGGAAGAACACCGGUGGCGAAGGCGGUCGACUGGCCCUAAACUGACGCUGAGGCACGAAAGCGUGGGGAUCAAACGGG
RNAcentral lists this ribosomal RNA (253 nucleotides) under uncultured bacterium. Its description in RNAcentral is "partial 16S ribosomal RNA". It matches the Rfam family "Bacterial small subunit ribosomal RNA", at positions 524 to 776 of the family's 1533-position model. The record is from RNAcentral.